Molecule: ribosomal RNA, 483 nt
Filed under: uncultured bacterium
Lineage: Bacteria
Description: bacterial SSU rRNA
Rfam family: Bacterial small subunit ribosomal RNA
Source: RNAcentral
CUACGUGCCAGCAGCCGCGGUAAUACGUAGGUCCCGAGCGUUAUCCGGAAUUAUUGGGUUUAAAGGGAGCGCAGGCGGGAGUAUAAGUCAGCUGUUAAAUAUCAGAGCCCAACUCUGUUAUGCAGUUGAAACUAUAUUUCUUGAGUACGCMCAGGGAUGGCGGAAUUCAGGGUGUAGCGGUGAAAUGCUUAGAUAUCCUGAAGAACUCCGAUCGCGAAGGCAGCCAUCCGGAGCGUAACUGACGCUGAGGCUCGAAGGUGCGGGUAUCGAACAGGAUUAGAUACCCUGGUAGUCCGCACGGUAAACGAUGAAUACUCGCAGUUCGGCCGUUUAGGUCGAGUUGUCCAGCGAAAGCGUUAAGUAUUCCACCUGGGGAGUACGCCGGCAACGGUGAAACUCAAAGGAAUUGACGGGGGCCCGCGCAAGCGGAGGAACAUGUGGUUUAAUUCGAUGAUACGCGAGGAACCUUACCCGGGCUUGAAC